GACGAACGCUGGCGGCGUGCUUAACACAUGCAAGUCGAACGGAAAGGUCCUGCUCUUGUUGGGUGCUCGAGUGGCGAACGGGUGAGUAACACGCGAGUAACCUGCCCUUGUCUUUGUGAUAUCUUCAGGAAACUGGGGCUAAUACCGGAUAGGAGCUCCUGCUGCAUGGUGGGGGUUGGAAAGUUUCGGCGGUUGGGGAUGGACUCGCGGCUUAUCAGCUUGUUUGGGGGGUAGUUGCUUACCAAGGCUUUGACGGGUAGCCGGCCUGAGAGGGUGACCGGCGACAUUGCGACUACGGGACGGAGCAGAAGCCAAUGGGAGGCAAGAGUGGGAAGUAUUACGGAAUGGGGGGAAGCCUGAUGCAACGACGCCGCGUGCGGGAAAACGGGCUUCGGGUUGUAAACAACUUUGGACUGUGCCGAAGAGUGAGUGACGGUAAUGAGUAAAAAAGCAACGGCUAACUACGUG
This 468-nucleotide ribosomal RNA is filed under the name uncultured bacterium. RNAcentral describes it as "partial 16S ribosomal RNA". It matches the Rfam family "Bacterial small subunit ribosomal RNA", at positions 28 to 507 of the family's 1533-position model. The record is from RNAcentral.